RNAcentral lists this ribosomal RNA (483 nucleotides) under uncultured bacterium. RNAcentral describes it as "bacterial SSU rRNA". It matches the Rfam family "Bacterial small subunit ribosomal RNA", at positions 12 to 507 of the family's 1533-position model. The record is from RNAcentral.
UUUGAUCAUGGCUCGAGGACGAACGCUGGCGGCGUGCCUAACACAUGCAAGUCGAACGGGGUGAGAUCCUUCGGGAUUUCACUUAGUGGCGAACGGGUGAGUAACGCGUGAGAAACCUGCCUCUCAGUGGGGGACAACAGUUGGAAACGACUGCUAAUACCGCAUAACACUUUAGUACCGCAUGGUACAGAAGUCAAAGCUUUAUGUGCUGAGAGAUGGUCUCGCGUCUGAUUAGCUAGAUGGCGGGGUAACGGCCCACCAUGGCGACGAUCAGUAGCCGGUCUGAGAGGAUGAACGGCCACAUUGGGACUGAGAUACGGCCCAGACUCCUACGGGAGGCAGCAGUGGGGAAUAUUGGGCAAUGGGGGAAACCCUGACCCAGCAACGCCGCGUGAAGGAAGAAGGCCCUCGGGUUGUAAACUUCUUUUAGCAGGGACGAAGAACGUGACGGUACCUGCAGAAAAAGCAACGGCUAACUACGUG